GCCAGAGUCACAUAACCAGGUAGUGUGUCGGUCUCGAAAACCGAUGUCCUUCGGGACUUGUAGGUUCAAAUCCUGCCUCUGGCG
Molecule: transfer RNA, 84 nt
Filed under: Candidatus Woesearchaeota archaeon
Lineage: Archaea; Nanobdellati; Candidatus Woesearchaeota
Description: tRNA-Ser
Rfam family: tRNA
About the family: Transfer RNA (tRNA) molecules are approximately 80 nucleotides in length. Their secondary structure includes four short double-helical elements and three loops (D, anti-codon, and T loops).
Source: RNAcentral